UUAUACAUGCAAGUCGAACGAAGUAGCAAUACUUAGUGGCAGACGGGUGAGUAACAUGUAGGUAUCUUCCCAUUGGUGAGGAAUAACACGAGGAAACUUGUGCUAAUACCUCAUAAGUCUUUACGGAGAAAGCUUUAUGCGCCGAUGGAUGAGCCUGCACUUGAUUAGUUUGUUGGUAGGGUAAUGGCCUACCAAGACUGUGAUCAAUAGCUGAUCUGAGAGGAUGAUCAGCCACAUUGGGACUGAGACACGGCCCAAACUCCUACGGGAGGCAGCAGUAGGGAAUAUUGCACAAUGGAGGAAACUCUGAUGCAGCGAUGCCGCGUGAGUGAAGAAGGCCUUUGGGUUGUAAAGCUCUUUCGUCGGGGAAGAAAAUGACUGUACCCGAAUAAGAAGGUCCGGCU
RNAcentral lists this ribosomal RNA (404 nucleotides) under uncultured bacterium. RNAcentral's name for it is "bacterial SSU rRNA". It matches the Rfam family "Bacterial small subunit ribosomal RNA", at positions 49 to 498 of the family's 1533-position model. The record is from RNAcentral.